Molecule: long non-coding RNA, 880 nt
Filed under: Triticum aestivum (bread wheat)
Lineage: Eukaryota; Viridiplantae; Streptophyta; Magnoliopsida; Poales; Poaceae
Description: long non-coding RNA (TAES_LNC023054)
Source: RNAcentral
GAUUAUUUCCCUCUGAAAAGAAAGAAUUUGAAUAUUGUUGAACAUACAUAUACUAUUCAGAACCAUAUGGAACAUAUACUAUUCAAAAACAUACUGCAUACUUUGAUCUUAUUGAACGAAGUUGGCAGAGUAUAUGAAGUUCAUCUAUAGCUUCCAGUUUGUACAAAUAAAUAUAGAAAUAUACAGAAAACUUAACCAGAAAAAAUAUGCCACACCAUCAAAUAAACUUUGAAGAAAUUUUGUGAACAUCUCGUUAAUGAUAUCAUGCUUCUUGCUCAACUUGACCAGACACAUUCAACCGCAUGGCCCCAUUGUCUACAACACAACUUGUGCGUGCAAGUUGAUCUUCUCUUAUAUCUGUGCAUCUGAAUGCUUCUUCAAUGUCACCCUUGAAGGUGUAACCUCAUGGGCGAAGACUUCGACACCACAUUGCCGAAUUAUUGACAAACUCAUCUGAAACAGUGAGUAACCACAUUCAUUUUUCCUAGUGCUAUAAGAAAUGGCAGUCUAUAAUAGUCAGGACUAAUUUGGCUUAUGCAAAGGAACAAUAGCACUAUCCAUGUAGGUUGAUAUCAAUUUCCAACAAACAAAGUCAGAUAUCUCUACUAUAAAUGUUCAAGUGUAUGUCAUAACAAAUCCAAAUUAGUAUGACUUCAAAGAAUCAUGUAAGGUCAAUAGCAGUUAUUCGAAAAACGAACAUACAUUUCUCUAGAAGUAGAAAUACCGAUUUGUAGCAUUGACAAGCCAACCAUCUCAAAUGCUACAAAUAUAAAUAAAUCAGUAUAGGUACAUAUGUAUAACCUUUGGCCAACGAUAUAGUACAGAGCCUUGAUUUUGUACUGCUAGGCUCUCCUAUUCUGAUAAUGGAACCCAUGUGCCC